ACGUACGCUGGCGGCACGCCUAACACAUGCAAGUCGAACGAAGUAGCAAUACUUAGUGGCAGACGGGUGAGUAACAUGUAGGUAUCUGCCCUUUGGCCUGGAAUAACACGAGGAAACUUGUGCUAAUACCGGAUAAGUCUUUACGGAGAAAGCUUUAUGCACCAUUGGAUGAGCCUGCACUUGAUUAGUUUGUUGGUGGGGUAAUGGCCUACCAAGACUGUGAUCAAUAGCUGAUUUGAGAGGAUGAUCAGCCACAUUGGGACUGAGACACGGCCCAAACUCCUACGGGAGGCAGCAGUGGGGAAUCUUGCACAAUGGAGGAAACUCUGAUGCAGCGAUGCCGCGUGAGUGAAGAAGGCCUUUGGGUUGUAAAGCUCUUUCGUCGGGGAAGAAAAUGACUGUACCCGAAUAAGAAGGUCCGGCUAACUUCGUGCCAGCAGCCGCGGUAAUACGAAGGGACCUAGCGUAGUUCGGAAUUACUGGGCUUAAAGAGUUCGUAGGUGGUUGAAAAAGUUAGUGGUGAAAUCCCAGAGCUUAACUCUGGAACUGCCAUUAAAACUUUUCAGCUAGAGUAUGAUAGAGGAAAGCAGAAUUUCUAGUGUAGAGGUGAAAUUCGUAGAUAUUAGAAAGAAUACCAAUUGCGAAGGCAGCUUUCUGGAUCAUAACUGACACUGA
RNAcentral lists this ribosomal RNA (675 nucleotides) under alpha proteobacterium IMCC14460. RNAcentral's name for it is "bacterial SSU rRNA". It matches the Rfam family "Bacterial small subunit ribosomal RNA", at positions 29 to 749 of the family's 1533-position model. The record is from RNAcentral. Lineage: Bacteria; Pseudomonadati; Pseudomonadota; Alphaproteobacteria.